This 445-nucleotide ribosomal RNA is filed under the name uncultured bacterium. RNAcentral describes it as "partial 16S ribosomal RNA". It matches the Rfam family "Bacterial small subunit ribosomal RNA", at positions 354 to 796 of the family's 1533-position model. The record is from RNAcentral.
GUGAGGAAUAUUGGUCAAUGGGCGAGAGCCUGAACCAGCCAAGUCGCGUGAAGGAAGAAGGAUCUAUGGUUCGUAAACUUCUUUUGCAGGGGAAUAAAGUGCAGGACGUGUCCUGUUUUGUAUGUACCCUGAGAAUAAGGAUCGGCUAACUCCGUGCCAGCAGCCGCGGUAAUACGGAGGAUCCGAGCGUUAUCCGGAGUUAUUGGGUUUAAAGGGUGCGUAGGUGGUUUGAUAAGUCAGCGGUGAAAGUUUGCAGCUUAACUGUAAAAAUGCCGUUGAAACUGUCGGACUUGAGUGUAAAUGAGGUAGGCGGAAUGCGUGGUGUAGCGGUGAAAUGCAUAGAUAUCACGCAGAACUCAGAUUGCGAAGGCAGCUUACUAAGCUACAACUGACACUGAAGCACGAAAGCGUGGGGAUCAAACAGGAUUAGAUACCCGGGUAGUCC